Molecule: ribosomal RNA, 477 nt
Filed under: uncultured bacterium
Lineage: Bacteria
Description: bacterial SSU rRNA
Rfam family: Bacterial small subunit ribosomal RNA
Source: RNAcentral
AUUGAACGCUGGCGGCAUGCCUUACACAUGCAAGUCGAACGGCAGCGGACCUUCGGGUGCCGGCGAGUGGCGAACGGGUGAGUAAUAUAUCGGAACGUACCUUUCAGUGGGGGAUAACGUAGCGAAAGUUACGCUAAUACCGCAUAUUCUGUGAGCAGGAAAGCAGGGGAUCGCAAGACCUUGCGCUGAUUGAGCGGCCGAUAUCAGAUUAGCUAGUUGGUGAGGUAAAGGCUCACCAAGGCGACGAUCUGUAGCGGGUCUGAGAGGAUGAUCCGCCACACUGGAACUGAGACACGGUCCAGACUCCUACGGGAGGCAGCAGUGGGGAAUAUUGGACAAUGGGCGCAAGCCUGAUCCAGCCAUGCCGCGUGUGUGAAGAAGGCCUUAGGGUUGUAAAGCUACUUUCGGCCGGGAAGAAAUCGCACAGGUUAAUACCCUGUGUGGAUGACGGUACCGGAAUAAGAAGCACCGGCUAAC